This 94-nucleotide transfer RNA is filed under the name Streptomyces inusitatus. Its description in RNAcentral is "tRNA-Pro". The record is from RNAcentral. Lineage: Bacteria; Bacillati; Actinomycetota; Actinomycetes; Kitasatosporales; Streptomycetaceae.
GGCGGGCUUGCGCCGGGGGCCUUCGCCACCGCCUCGGAGGCGGUGGCGAAGCGGGAGUCGAGGGUGUCCCCCGGCUCGCCGCCCGGGCCCGCCG